RNAcentral lists this ribosomal RNA (253 nucleotides) under uncultured bacterium. RNAcentral describes it as "partial 16S ribosomal RNA". It matches the Rfam family "Bacterial small subunit ribosomal RNA", at positions 524 to 776 of the family's 1533-position model. The record is from RNAcentral.
UACGAAGGGGGCUAGCGUUGUUCGGAAUUACUGGGCGUAAAGCGCGCGUAGGCGGUGAUCUUUGUCAGAGGUGAAAUCCCGAGGCUCAACUUCGGAAUUGCCUUUGAAACGGGAUCGCUUGAGUCCGAGAGAGGAUGGCGGAAUUCCUAGUGUAGAGGUGAAAUUCGUAGAUAUUCGGAGGAACACCAGUGGCGAAGGCGGCUCACUGGCUCGAUACUGACGCUGAGGUGCGAAAGCGUGGGGAGCAAACAGG